This 253-nucleotide ribosomal RNA is filed under the name uncultured bacterium. Its description in RNAcentral is "partial 16S ribosomal RNA". It matches the Rfam family "Bacterial small subunit ribosomal RNA", at positions 524 to 776 of the family's 1533-position model. The record is from RNAcentral.
UACGUAGGUGGCGAGCGUUAUCCGGAUUUACUGGGUGUAAAGGGUGCGUAGGCGGCUUUUUAAGUCAGAUGUGAAAUCUCCCGGCUCAACCGGGGGAGUGCAUUGGAUACUGGAGGACUUGAGUGAUAGAGAGGAGAGCGGAAUUCCGAGUGUAGCGGUGAAAUGCGUAGAUAUUAGGAGGAACACCAGUGGCGAAGGCGGCUGUCUGGGCAUUAACUGACGCUGAGGCACGAAAGCGUGGGGAGCAAACAGG